RNAcentral lists this long non-coding RNA (263 nucleotides) under Gossypium barbadense (sea-island cotton). RNAcentral describes it as "long non-coding RNA (GBAR_LNC001533)". The record is from RNAcentral. Lineage: Eukaryota; Viridiplantae; Streptophyta; Magnoliopsida; Malvales; Malvaceae.
ACUUUAUUUCCUUCAAGCCAAGAUCGGGAUUAGAUUGGGGAAAAAGAAAAGUGGAUAAAUAGUUAAUCCCUUUUUUGUAACAGUGGCAAUAUCAGUUUGGGCUUUAGCCCAUCUCAAUACAAAAAUAAUCAUGUGUUUGGGCCUUGGCCCAUUUUAGUAACAAUAAUCAGUGCAGUAACAGUUUAAACAAUAUAUAAGUCCUACCCAUCCAGCCUCUACACUCCAACUCCGUCCAACCCUACACUCCAUGUGGGGAUAUAAUC